UAAGCAGGCUUAUCUUAUCGUCAUGCUUUUUAGCAUGUAGGAAAGUCCGGACACCAUAGAGUAUCAUAGCGGAUAACAUCCGUCCAGCGUAAGUUGAGGACCAGUGCAACAGAAAGCAAGUACAGUUCGGCUGUAGUGAAACCAGGUAAACUCUAUGAGGUGCAAUGCCAUGUAAAUUAGAGCUUGAGAGCUACUCGCUCGAUUCUAAAGGGUAGGCAGAUUGAUUCUAAAAGUAAUUUUAGAACGAGAUAAAUGAUAAGAACUUUUUAUAAAGGGACAGGAUUCGGCUUAUUAGCCUGCUUUUUUA
Molecule: RNase P RNA, 307 nt
Filed under: Polaribacter irgensii 23-P
Lineage: Bacteria; Pseudomonadati; Bacteroidota; Flavobacteriia; Flavobacteriales; Flavobacteriaceae
Description: Bacterial RNase P class A
Rfam family: Bacterial RNase P class A
About the family: Ribonuclease P (RNase P) is a ubiquitous endoribonuclease, found in archaea, bacteria and eukarya as well as chloroplasts and mitochondria. Its best characterised activity is the generation of mature 5'-ends of tRNAs by cleaving the 5'-leader elements of precursor-tRNAs. Cellular RNase Ps are ribonucleoproteins.
Source: Rfam by way of RNAcentral